This is a long non-coding RNA of Diachasmimorpha longicaudata, 364 nucleotides long. RefSeq lists it as uncharacterized. The transcript has 3 exons. NCBI's taxonomy places the organism in Eukaryota, Metazoa, Arthropoda, Insecta, Hymenoptera, Braconidae. The record is from RefSeq and is a predicted model, not a curated record.
AAGUAGUUAUUAUCCGUUAUUAUUAAUCUGUGGGAAAUAACAAUUACAAUUAUUAUGCUAAUUGUACUUCAUAAAAUGAAUUUCCUCUGAGUGAGCUUAAUCAAUAACUAAUAACCGCGAUGUAUAUAAUAACAACAUAUUUUACACAGGAAUUGCAAUAGAUGUAAAAGUAUCAAGAUCCUCCGUUACUCCAGUAGGUGAGGGCAUCGUUAUCAAAUGACACAAGAAGAGACCAUUUUAUCCCAAGGCUCGACAAGAGGCACGAGAAACUUCUACCUGAUUGUGUUUAAAUUUUAUGGCCGCAGAUUCUUUCCUCACUAUUUACAACAAUCCAGGUUUUUUAACAGUAACGCUUCGAGGCUCA